This 206-nucleotide ribosomal RNA is filed under the name uncultured bacterium. RNAcentral describes it as "partial 16S ribosomal RNA". It matches the Rfam family "Bacterial small subunit ribosomal RNA", at positions 568 to 774 of the family's 1533-position model. The record is from RNAcentral.
CGCGUAGGCGGCCUGUUAAGUCAGACGUGAAAUCCCCGGGCUCAACCCGGGAACUGCGUCUGAUACUGGCAGGCUUGAAUCCGGGAGAGGGAUGCGGAAUUCCAGGUGUAGCGGUGAAAUGCGUAGAUAUCUGGAGGAACACCGGUGGCGAAGGCGGCAUCCUGGACCGGCAUUGACGCUGAGGCGCGAAAGCCAGGGAGCAAACG